RNAcentral lists this ribosomal RNA (759 nucleotides) under uncultured marine bacterium. RNAcentral describes it as "bacterial SSU rRNA". It matches the Rfam family "Bacterial small subunit ribosomal RNA", at positions 57 to 864 of the family's 1533-position model. The record is from RNAcentral.
GCAAGUCGAACGAAGUAGCAAUACUUAGUGGCAGACGGGUGAGUAACAUGUGGGUAUCUGCCCUUUGGCCUGGAAUAACACGAGGAAACUUGUGCUAAUACCGGAUAAGUCUUUACGGAGAAAGCUUUAUGCACCAUUGGAUGAGCCCGCACUUGAUUAGUUUGUUGGUAGGGUAAUGGCCUACCAAGACUGUGAUCAAUAGCUGAUUUGAGAGGAUGAUCAGCCACAUUGGGACCGAGACACGGCCCAAACUCCUACGGGAGGCAGCAGUGGGGAAUCUUGCACAAUGGAGGAAACUCUGAUGCAGCGAUGCCGCGUGAGUGAAGAAGGCCCUUGGGUUGUAAAGCUCUUUCGUCGGGGAAGAAAAUGACUGUACCCGAAUAAGAAGGUCCGGCUAACUUCGUGCCAGCAGCCGCGGUAAUACGAAGGGACCUAGCGUAGUUCGGAAUUACUGGGCUUAAAGAGUUCGUAGGUGGUUGAAAAAGUUGGUGGUGAAAUCCCAGAGCUUAACUCUGGAACUGCCAUCAAAACUUUUCAGCUAGAGUUUGAUAGAGGAAAGCAGAAUUUCUAGUGUAGAGGUGAAAUUCGUAGAUAUUAGAAAGAAUACCAAUUGCGAAAGCAGCUUUCUGGAUCAUUACUGACACUGAGGAACGAAAGCAUGGGUAGCGAAGAGGAUUAGAUACCCUCGUAGUCCAUGCCGUAAACGAUGUGUGUUAGACGUUGGAAAAUUAUUUUCAGUGUCGCAGCGAAAGCGAUAAA